CCUGUCCAAUCAUUUGAGACCAGUGCCAUACUGAAGUAUGGAAAACAAUCCUGAUAAUUACCUGACAGUUUUUCUAGUUUUCCUAUAGUAGAUGUUCUGAUCUAGUCCUGAUACUGUGCUUUACUAACACUGGGAUCUCUGAAGCAGUGGGGUUCAUUUAACACCACACGGGGUGACAGAUUAUCUGUGGGCUAUCUAGUGAUCUAGUCUGAACCUCUGAUCAAGUCAAGUUAUUUCUAGUUCUAUCUCUGGUCCAGGAUGUUAGUGUUUGUUCCUUCACUAACCCACACAGCCACACUAAUGCCUGGGACCAAAGCUACUCUAUUCCUUGGGGAGCCACAGUGCCCGAAUGGCGCCCCCUUGUGAUUGUAAUGUCCCCUCUUGCAGGUAACACAACAUAUCACAUCUUUCGGGAGUUCUCGCUCAUGGCGUCCCACCAGCCCGAGAAGCUAAAGAGGAGAAUACACUUCAACAACUACCAGACGUAGUCCAUGAUGACAUCAAAACAUACUUCAGCCACUGCCUGAGGUAGUCAAAGACUCCUAACUUGACUCAGACUCUGAAGUGACUUACUAACAAGUCUCUGUGUCCUACACCUUAAAUCUAUUUAGGUAGAGCACCACCUUCAAGACAGAUCUAUUUAGGUAGAGAACCACCACCAAGACAGAUCUAUUUAGGUAGAGAACCAUCAAGACAUAUCUAUUUAGGUAGAGCACCAUCAAGACAGAUCUAUUUAGGUAGAGCACCACCAUCAAGACAGAUCUAUUUAGGUAGAGCAUCACCAUCAAAACAGAUCUAUUUAGGUAGAGCACCAUCAAGACAGAUCUAUUUAGGUAGAGCACCAUCAAGACAGAUCUAUUUAGGUAGAGCACCAUCAAGACAGAUCUAUUUAGGUAGAGCACCAUCAAGACAGAUCUAUUUAGGUAGAGCACCAUCAAGACAGAUCUAUUUAGGUAGAGCACCAUCAAGACAGAUCUAUUUAGGUAGAGCACCACCAUCAUGACCACCAUUUUUCUUCAAUCAGUUUUGAUAUAAACAUUUCAGUAGGUGUCCUGGUGUUCUCCUAGCAUGCGAUCAUUGCUCUCAGUUCCAUUGCAUUACACACAAGAGUCAUUAUUGGACGAAGGCGUCUUCUGUACGGGAAAGUUUUGUUAAGAGUCGCGACGCUCAGGCUGAACAUUUAACACGCAUCGUUUGCGGUAUGGUUUUGCAAGCAUAAGGACCUUAUCUUUAUUUUUUAAGGUUAAAUUGAUACACACCUUUUAUAGGGUUCACACACGGCCGUAUCUCCAUUUAAGCACUAGUUGAGGGAAAACAUACCGAAGACAGGGUGGACUACCUGUGCUAAUUAGUUGUCAGCGUCUCCAAACACCUGUGUGUAAAUGACAAACGGUGUUGUCACUGAAAAAUACUGUCGGCUGCAACUGUGUUGAAACCGGUUAAAAAGGAGUACAGUGUUUAUUUUGUGUUUGGGAAAUUAUUUAGAGGGAAUUCAUGUUUCUAGAACCGUACUGCAAUUGAGGAUCGAUUCACCUUUAAACAGAACAUGUAAGGUCAUUGGACUAAGGAGUAACGCUAGGUUUCUUUAGUUUAUUAUUGGGCGAUUGUUCCCUUAGUUAGGGAGAGUGAAAAAUAGCCAUUUCAAUUCAUGCUUGAUUUAUAUUACUGUUUGUACAGACACACACAAAGGUACACACACAUGCAUACUGCAUACAUGAUAUUGUUGUAUGGUGGUAUUAAACAUUUUGUACUGUA
This is a long non-coding RNA of Oncorhynchus keta (chum salmon), 1755 nucleotides long. RefSeq lists it as uncharacterized. Lineage: Eukaryota; Metazoa; Chordata; Actinopteri; Salmoniformes; Salmonidae. The transcript is spliced from 3 exons. The record is from RefSeq and is a predicted model, not a curated record.